Molecule: ribosomal RNA, 836 nt
Filed under: uncultured archaeon
Lineage: Archaea
Description: bacterial SSU rRNA
Rfam family: Archaeal small subunit ribosomal RNA
Source: RNAcentral
ACUGCUCAGUAACACGUGGAUAAUCUACCCUUAGGUCUGGAAUAACCCCGGGAAACUGGGGAUAAUACCGGAUAGAUCAUAGAUGCUGGAAUGCCCUAUGUUCUAAAGCUCCGGCGCCUAAGGAUGAGUCUGCGGUCUAUCAGGUUGUAGUGGGUGUAACGUACCUACUAGCCGACGACGGAUACGGGUUGUGAGAGCAAGAGCCCGGAGAUGGAUUCUGAGACACGAAUCCAGGCCCUACGGGGUGCAGCAGGCGCGAACACUUUACAAUGCGGGAAACCGCGAUAAGGGAACCCCGAGUGCCAGCACCAAGUGUUGGCUGUCCGGAUGAUUAAAUCUCAUUUGUUAGCAAGGGCCGGGCAAGACCGGUGCCAGCCGCCGCGGUAACACCGGCGGCCCGAGUGGUAACCGUUUUUAUUGGGUCUAAAGGGUCCGUAGCCGGUCUGAUCAGUCUUUUGGGAAAUCUGGCAGCUUAACUGUCAGGCUUCUAAGAGAUACUGUCAGGCUUGGGACCGGGAGAGGUAAGGGGUACUCCAAGGGUAGGAGUGAAAUCUUGUAAUCCUUGGGGGACCAUCUGUGGCGAAGGCGCCUUACCAGAACGGGUCCGACGGUGAGGGACGAAAGCUAGGGGAGCAAACCGGAUUAGAUACCCGGGUAGUCCUAGCUGUAAACGAUGCUCGCUAGGUGUCAGGCACGGUGCGUCCGUGUUUGGUGCCGUAGGGAAGCCGAGAAGCGAGCCACCUGGGAAGUACGGUCGCAAGGCUGAAACUUAAAGGAAUUGGCGGGGGAGCACUACAACGGGUGGAGCCUGCGGUUUAAUUGGAGUCAACGCCGGG